AAGGCGUGCGAUACAGGGUGACAGCCCCGUACACAAAAAUGCACAUAUUGUGAGCUCGAUGAGUAGGGCGGGACACGUGGUAUCCUGUCUGAAUAUGGGGGGACCAUCCUCCAAGGCUAAAUACUCCUGACUGACCGAUAGUGAACCAGUACCGUGAGGGAAAGGCGAAAAGAACCCCGGCGAGGGGAGUGAAAAAGAACCUGAAACCGUGUACGUACAAGCAGUGGGAGCCUCUUAAUGGGGUGACUGCGUACCUUUUGUAUAAUGGGUCAGCGACUUAUAUUCUGUAGCAAGGUUAACCGAAUAGGGGAGCCGAAGGGAAACCGAGUCUUAACUGGGCGUUAAGUUGCAGGGUAUAGACCCGAAACCCGGUGAUCUAGCCAUGGGCAGGUUGAAGGUUGGGUAACACUAACUGGAGGACCGAACCGACUAAUGUUGAAAAAUUAGCGGAUGACUUGUGGCUGGGGGUGAAAGGCCAAUCAAACCGGGAGAUAGCUGGUUCUCCCCGAAAGCUAUUUAGGUAGCGCCUCGUGAAUUCAUCUCCGGGGGUAGAGCACUGUUUCGGCAAGGGGGUCAUCCCGACUUACCAACCCGAUGCAAACUGCGAAUACCGGAGAAUGUUAUCACGGGAGACACACGGCGGGUGCUAACGUCCGUCGUGAAGAGGGAAACAACCCAGACCGCCAGCUAAGGUCCCAAAGUCAUGGUUAAGUGGGAAACGAUGUGGGAAGGCCCAGACAGCCAGGAUGUUGGCUUAGAAGCAGCCAUCAUUUAAAGAAAGCGUAAUAGCUCACUGGUCGAGUCGGCCUGCGCGGAAGAUGUAACGGGGCUAAACCAUGCACCGAAGCUGCGGCAGCGACACUAUGUGUUGUUGGGUAGGGGAGCGUUCUGUAAGCCUGUGAAGGUGGCCUGUGAGGGUUGCUGGAGGUAUCAGAAGUGCGAAUGCUGACAUAAGUAACGAUAAAGCGGGUGAAAAGCCCGCUCGCCGGAAGACCAAGGGUUCCUGUCCAACGUUAAUCGGGGCAGGGUGAGUCGACCCCUAAGGCGAGGCCGAAAGGCGUAGUCGAUGGGAAACAGGUUAAUAUUCCUGUACUUGGUGUUACUGCGAAGGGGGGACGGAGAAGGCUAUGUUGGCCGGGCGACGGUUGUCCCGGUUUAAGCGUGUAGGCUGGUUUUCCAGGCAAAUCCGGAAAACCAAGGCUGAGGCGUGAUGACGAAGCACUACGGUGCUGAAGCGACAAAUGCCCUGCUUCCAGGAAAAGCCUCUAAGCAUCAGGUAACAUCAAAUCGUACCCCAAACCGACACAGGUGGUCAGGUAGAGAAUACCAAGGCGCUUGAGAGAACUCGGGUGAAGGAACUAGGCAAAAUGGUGCCGUAACUUCGGGAGAAGGCACGCUGAUAUGUAGGUGAAGCGACUUGCUCGUGGAGCUGAAAUCAGUCGAAGAUACCAGCUGGCUGCAACUGUUUAUUAAAAACACAGCACUGUGCAAACACGAAAGUGGACGUAUACGGUGUGACGCCUGCCCGGUGCCGGAAGGUUAAUUGAUGGGGUUAGCGGUAACGCGAAGCUCUUGAUCGAAGCCCCGGUAAACGGCGGCCGUAACUAUAACGGUCCUAAGGUAGCGAAAUUCCUUGUCGGGUAAGUUCCGACCUGCACGAAUGGCGUAAUGAUGGCCAGGCUGUCUCCACCCGAGACUCAGUGAAAUUGAACUCGCUGUGAAGAUGCAGUGUACCCGCGGCAAGACGGAAAGACCCCGUGAACCUUUACUAUAGCUUGACACUGAACAUUGAGCCUUGAUGUGUAGGAUAGGUGGGAGGCUUUGAAGUGUGGACGCCAGUCUGCAUGGAGCCGACCUUGAAAUACCACCCUUUAAUGUUUGAUGUUCUAACGUUGGCCCGUAAUCCGGGUUGCGGACAGUGUCUGGUGGGUAGUUUGACUGGGGCGGUCUCCUCCUAAAGAGUAACGGAGGAGCACGAAGGUUGGCUAAUCCUGGUCGGACAUCAGGAGGUUAGUGCAAUGGCAUAAGCCAGCUUGACUGCGAGCGUGACGGCGCGAGCAGGUGCGAAAGCAGGUCAUAGUGAUCCGGUGGUUCUGAAUGGAAGGGCCAUCGCUCAACGGAUAAAAGGUACUCCGGGGAUAACAGGCUGAUACCGCCCAAGAGUUCAUAUCGACGGCGGUGUUUGGCACCUCGAUGUCGGCUCAUCACAUCCUGGGGCUGAAGUAGGUCCCAAGGGUAUGGCUGUUCGCCAUUUAAAGUGGUACGCGAGCUGGGUUUAGAACGUCGUGAGACAGUUCGGUCCCUAUCUGCCGUGGGCGCUGGAGAACUGAGGGGGGCUGCUCCUAGUACGAGAGGACCGGAGUGGACGCAUCACUGGUGUUCGGGUUGUCAUGCCAAUGGCACUGCCCGGUAGCUAAAUGCGGAAGAGAUAAGUGCUGAAAGCAUCUAAGCACGAAACUUGCCCCGAGAUGAGUUCUCCCUGAGACUUAGAGUCUCCUGAAGGAACGUUGAAGACGACGACGUUGAUAGGCCGGGUGUGUAAGCGCAGCGAUGCGUUGAGCUAACCGGUACUAAUGAACCGUGAGGCUUAACCUUACAACGCCGAAG
RNAcentral lists this ribosomal RNA (2607 nucleotides) under Escherichia coli. Its description in RNAcentral is "partial 23S ribosomal RNA". It matches the Rfam family "Bacterial large subunit ribosomal RNA", at positions 347 to 2925 of the family's 2925-position model. The record is from RNAcentral. Lineage: Bacteria; Pseudomonadati; Pseudomonadota; Gammaproteobacteria; Enterobacterales; Enterobacteriaceae.